This 309-nucleotide unclassified non-coding RNA is filed under the name uncultured fungus. Its description in RNAcentral is "partial contains 18S rRNA, ITS1, 5.8S rRNA". The record is from RNAcentral. Lineage: Eukaryota; Fungi.
GCGGAAGGAUCAUUAACGCGCAGGCCGGAGGCUGGCCCCCCACGAUAGGGACCGACGUUCCAUCAGGGGUGAGCAGACGUGCGCCGGCCGUACGCCCCCAUUCUUGUCUACCUCACCCGGUUGCCUCGGCGGGCCGCGCUCCCCCUGCCAGGGAGAGCCGUCCGGCGGGCCCCUCCUGGGAGCCUCGAGCCGGACCGCGCCCGCCGGAGGACAGACACCAAGAAAAAAUUCUCUGAAGAGCUGUCAGUCUGAGCGUUUAGCAAGCACAAUCAGUUAAAACUUUCAACAACGGAUCUCUUGGUUCCGGCA